Molecule: long non-coding RNA, 1954 nt
Organism: Hylaeus anthracinus
Lineage: Eukaryota; Metazoa; Arthropoda; Insecta; Hymenoptera; Colletidae
Exons: 3
Source: RefSeq, a predicted model, not a curated record
CGCCUAGGGGCGUCGCGGCGACCGCCGACGCCUUCUUGAAUGAAAACGUCGCAGUCAGUUCGGAUCAAGGCGUCCAUCCUCGCUUCGACUUUCACGGAUUUUGUAUAUCCCACGUCGAGGAGAACCGCCAGUGACAUACCAAGACGAUAAAUCGAGCCUUCGUGCUGCGAACAGGUCGUCCCCCUCGCAUCGUUUCAUCUUCGUUGGAUCGCGAAUAUAUCAUAGCGGGCGCGUGUUGCAGCGACGACGCUUCCGAGACCGCGGCGCAGGUUGUCCAGACGCCAGAGGAAGGAAAACGAAGGCACGAAGAAGUUUCAGAACGGGUGAUGUUCCUUUUGGUCCCGUGAAUCGUCGACUGGCAGGAGUGUUGGCCGAGGGUGUGUCUUUUUCCGCUUUGCUGCCGCUGAGAUGGAGUCCGCCAGCAAAGGGGAACAGGCCGACCCUCCCGCACCAACUAAAUAAUAUUCGAUGACAGUGAUAUAUAGGGAACAACGUCGCUGUGCCCAGGCAACUUUCUCCUCGAUAAAUCUCGUUAACCUGGAAGUGGACCAUUCGGAACAAAAGUAAAGUAAUUGUCCACGACUGCGCCACGACGAAGAUCAACGUGACGUGGACGACCUUUAAAUCCUAAGAACAAUUCAACGCGUCUCGGUAACGUCAUUUCGUCAAUGUAAGUUUUUAAUUACCCUCUAGUAGCCUGAAACAUAAUGUCUUUGUGCGUUGAUUUACGGGCCCUAAAAGUCGUUUGUCCUCUGCUCAGUUAGACAAAGAUCAGAGUGUCGCGUGGAGACGGAAUGAAGUGCCGUGUUUUACCUUCUGCAUUUUAUUUUUUAUUCCACGGUCGUAGGAAUGAUUUAUUCGCGUCUAUUCUGUUCGAUAGAAGAAAUGUUUCGAAAGUAAAUAGCCACAAUCUUUAUUAAUUAUAAAUUUGUUGCCAGUUGCACGAAUUUGCUAUUGUUCUCAGACACCGUAACUCAGUUCCAUCGAAACGUAGCAGCGAUCCGCGAUCGAUAGCAUUUGGUACGCUGCGAGGUUCGAGGAUAAUGGCUGGCCGAAUGAUUUCCUCUAGAGUCGUAAAUCUCCUGACGCUUUACGCUAACCCAUCGACCAGGCAACGGUAAAUCAUCUUUUUCGGAACAAUUGCUUGCUUCCCACUCAAUUAUGUAUACGUGUACCCCGGUGACGACAAAGAUAGAUCGUGUAUACGUAUCGUUGAAACGAGAAUAGCAAUUUUACUGGGCCACAACCUGCGCCUCCCAGUCGCUGAGAAAUUUACGAGGGCCCACUCCUUCCAUAUUGAAUUACAUUUCGGUAAACAUUUGUCAUAGAGGCGAAUCGACGCCAGCCGAAAACCUCGUUGCAGCAAAAUAUUACUAUUUCUACAGGUUAGUCUGUGCACUUUCGACGUUUUCUUUGAAAACUUUCAUUUCCAUUUUUGAACACAACUUUAUUUAUUUCUGAUACGUUUGUAUUUACACACCUCUACAUUCAUGAAUACACAUUACAUACACAAAUUUGUUAUCUAUACAUUCACAUUUUCUGCACGCUAUAGUUGUUCUGUUAAAUUUUAUUUGAUUCGGGAACACAGCGUAACUCUUCUCCAAAGAAUUCUAGAUGGAGAUCGAGAUAAACUUUUAUUUUUACUCAUCGCCAGCUUCGAUGUAACCAGUCUGUAAUUGCGUGGGCGUAAUCUUCGAAUAGAAAGAAGUAUCGCGCGCGUAGCGAUCAUUCCAGCUAUGUCUAAUUUUAUCGCGAUCUUCAUACGCGACACUGUUCUUAUAUUCGUUCAUCGCGUGUUUCGUUUCACGAUUCAGUCAAACAAACUCGUCCGAGUUUACAUUGCUUCACUUUUAAUCUUUAACCUUAACCAAGCAUGGCUUCGGUUGUAGUUUGGAUCAUGAAGAUAAGCUUGUAGAUUACAACUAAUUUUGAUUUAUUUGUUUCAGACGAAGAA